UGGGGAAUUUUGGACAAUGGGCGAAAGCCUGAUCCAGCAAUGCCGCGUGUGUGAAGAAGGCCUUCGGGUUGUAAAGCACUUUUGUCCGGAAAGAAAUCCUUGGCUCUAAUACAGUCGGGGGAUGACGGUACCGGAAGAAUAAGCACCGGCUAACUACGUGCCAGCAGCCGCGGUAAUACGUAGGGUGCAAGCGUUAAUCGGAAUUACUGGGCGUAAAGCGUGCGCAGGCGGUUUGCUAAGACCGAUGUGAAAUCCCCGGGCUCAACCUGGGAACUGCAUUGGUGACUGGCAGGCUAGAGUACGGCAGAGGGGGGUAGAAUUCCACGUGUAGCAGUGAAAUGCGUAGAGAUGUGGAGGAAUACCGAUGGCGAAGGCAGCCCCCUGGGCCAAUACUGACGCUCAUGCACGAAAGCGUGGGGAGCAAACAGGAUUAGAUACCCUGGUAGUCCACGCCCUAAAACGAUGUCAACUAGUUGUUGGGGAUUCAUUUCCUUAGUAACGUAGCUAACGCGUGAAGUUGACCGCCUGGGGAGUAC
Molecule: ribosomal RNA, 536 nt
Filed under: uncultured bacterium
Lineage: Bacteria
Description: partial 16S ribosomal RNA
Rfam family: Bacterial small subunit ribosomal RNA
Source: RNAcentral